AUAAAUCUAAUAUUAGUUUCAUGUAUAUUUUAUAUGUAUCUAAUAUCAAUUUCAUACAUUAUAGCCAAAAACAUGUAUCUCAAAUAUAUAGUAAACAUAUACAUCUAAUUAAUAUAUGAACUAUACUUGAUUGUUAGGAGUAAAAUGGUUGACUAUUCAUUACCUAGUGAAGGGAGAGUUACUGAUAAGGAUGGAGAUUGGGGGAAGUUAACG
RNAcentral lists this long non-coding RNA (213 nucleotides) under Solanum tuberosum (potato). RNAcentral describes it as "long non-coding RNA (STUB_LNC003371)". Lineage: Eukaryota; Viridiplantae; Streptophyta; Magnoliopsida; Solanales; Solanaceae. The record is from RNAcentral.